AACGAACGCUGGCGGCAGGCCUAACACAUGCAAGCCGAACGCUGUAGCAAUACAGAGUGGCAGACGGGUGAGUAACGCGUGGGAACCUACCCUUUGGUUCGGAAUAGCUCAGGGAAACUUGAGGUAAUACCGGAUAAGCCCUUCGGGGGAAAGAUUUAUCGCCAAAGGAUGGGCCCGCGUCGGAUUAGCUAGUUGGUGGGGUAACGGCCUACCAAGGCGACGAUCCGUAGCUGGUCUGAGAGGAUGAUCAGCCACACUGGGACUGAGACACGGCCCAGACUCCUACGGGAGGCAGCAGUGGGGAAUAUUGGACAAUGGGGGCAACCCUGAUCCAGCCAUGCCGCGUGAGUGACGAAGGUCUUCGGAUUGUAAAGCUCUUUUGGCGGGGAAGAUAAUGACGGUACCCGCAGAAUAAGCCCCGGCUAACUUCGUGCCAGCCGCCGCCGUAA
This 449-nucleotide ribosomal RNA is filed under the name uncultured bacterium. Its description in RNAcentral is "partial 16S ribosomal RNA". It matches the Rfam family "Bacterial small subunit ribosomal RNA", at positions 29 to 523 of the family's 1533-position model. The record is from RNAcentral.